RNAcentral lists this ribosomal RNA (259 nucleotides) under uncultured bacterium. Its description in RNAcentral is "partial 16S ribosomal RNA". It matches the Rfam family "Bacterial small subunit ribosomal RNA", at positions 793 to 1050 of the family's 1533-position model. The record is from RNAcentral.
GUCCACGCCGUAAACGGUGAGAGCUCGUCGUCGCGGGUAUUGACCCCUGCGGUGACCAAGUUAACGCAUGAAGCUCUCCGCCUGGGAAGUACGGUCGCAAGACUAAAACUCAAAGAAAUUGACGGGGGCCCGCACAAGCGGUGGAGCAUGUUGUUUAAUUCGAAGCAACGCGCAGAACCUUACCUGGAUUUGACAUCUCGGGAAGUUCUCUGAAAAGAGAAUGUGCCUUCGGGAACCCGAUGACAGGUGCUGCAUGGCU